RNAcentral lists this ribosomal RNA (198 nucleotides) under uncultured bacterium. Its description in RNAcentral is "partial 16S ribosomal RNA". It matches the Rfam family "Bacterial small subunit ribosomal RNA", at positions 328 to 539 of the family's 1533-position model. The record is from RNAcentral.
ACGCUCGACACCUACGGGAGGCAGCAGUGGGGAAUAUUGCACAAUGGGGGAAACCCUGAUGCAGCGAUGCCGCGUGAAGGAAGAAGUAUCUCGGUAUGUAAACUUCUAUCAGCAGGGAANAAAAUGACGGUACCUGACUAAGAAGCCCCGGCUAACUACGUGCCAGCAGCCACGGUAAUCUGAGCGGGCUGGCAAGGC